AUUGAACGCUGGCGGCAGGCUUAACACAUGCAAGUCGAGCGGAGAUGAGGUGCUUGCACCUUAUCUUAGCGGCGGACGGGUGAGUAAUGCUUAGGAAUCUGCCUAUUAGUGGGGGACAACAUUCCGAAAGGAUGCUAAUACCGCAUACGUCCUACGGGAGAAAGCAGGGGAUCUUCGGACCUUGCGCUAAUAGAUGAGCCUAAGUCGGAUUAGCUAGGUGGUGGGGUAAAGGCCUACCAAGGCGACGAUCUGUAGCGGGUCGGAGAGGGUGAUCCGCCACACUGGGACUGAGACACGGCCCAGACUCCUACGGGAGGCAGCAGUGGGGAAUAUUGGACAAUGGGGGAAACCCUGAUCCAGCCAUGCCGCGUGUGUGAAGAAGGCCUUAUGGUUGUAAAGCACUUUAAGCGAGGAGGAGGCUAAUGAGACUAAUACUUUUGGAUAGUGGACGUUACUCGCAGAAUAAGCACCGGCUAACUCUGUGCCAGCAGCCGCCGUAA
RNAcentral lists this ribosomal RNA (500 nucleotides) under uncultured bacterium. Its description in RNAcentral is "partial 16S ribosomal RNA". It matches the Rfam family "Bacterial small subunit ribosomal RNA", at positions 30 to 523 of the family's 1533-position model. The record is from RNAcentral.